GUCUGUAAUGACGCUGAGGCUCGAAGCGUGGGGAGCAAACAGGAUUAGAUACCCUGGUAGUCCACGCGUAAACGAUGAGUGCUAAGUGUUGGAGGGUUUCCCCCUUCAGUGCUGCAGUUAACGCAUUAAGCACUCCGCUGGGGAGUACGGCCGCAAGGCUGAAACUCAAAGGAAUUGACGGGGGCCCGCACAAGCGGUGGAGCAUGUGGUUUAAUCCGAAGCAACGCGAAGAACCUUACCAGGUCUUGACAUCCUUUGACCACUCUAGAGAUAGAGCUUUCCCUUCGGGGACAAAGUGACAGGUGGUGCAUGGUUGUCGUCAGCUCGUGUCGUGAGAUGUUGGGUUAAGUCCCGCAACGAGCGCAACCCUUAUUGUUAGUUGCCAUCAUUCAGUUGGGCACUCUAGCGAGACUGCCGGUGACAAACCGGAGGAAGGUGGGGAUGACGUCAAAUCAUCAUGCCCCUUAUGACCUGGGCUACACACGUGCUACAAUGGACAGUACAAUGAGCAGCGACACGGCGACGUGAAGCGAAUCUCAUAAAGCUGUUCUCAGUUCGGAUUGUAGGCUGCAACUCGCCUACAUGAAGCCGGAAUCGCUAGUAAUCGCGGAUCAGCACGCCGCGGUGAAUACGUUCCCGGGCCUUGUACACACCGCCCGUCACACCACGAAAGUUUGUAACACCCAAAGUCGGUGAGGUAACCUUCGGGAGCCAGCCGCCUAAGGUGGGAUAGAUGAUUGGGGUGAAGUCGUAACAAGGUAACCA
This 765-nucleotide ribosomal RNA is filed under the name uncultured Vagococcus sp. RNAcentral describes it as "bacterial SSU rRNA". It matches the Rfam family "Bacterial small subunit ribosomal RNA", at positions 733 to 1502 of the family's 1533-position model. Lineage: Bacteria; Bacillati; Bacillota; Bacilli; Lactobacillales; Enterococcaceae. The record is from RNAcentral.